This 282-nucleotide ribosomal RNA is filed under the name uncultured prokaryote. Its description in RNAcentral is "partial 16S ribosomal RNA". It matches the Rfam family "Bacterial small subunit ribosomal RNA", at positions 524 to 817 of the family's 1533-position model. The record is from RNAcentral.
CACGUAGGGGCUAGCGUUAUCCGGAAUUACUGGGCGUAAAGGGUGCGUAGGUGGUUUCUUAAGUCAGAGGUGAAAGGCUACGGCUCAACCGUAGUAAGCCUUUGAAACUGGGAAACUUGAGUGCAGGAGAGGAGAGUGGAAUUCCUAGUGUAGCGGUGAAAUGCGUAGAUAUUAGGAGGAACACCGGUGGCGAAGGCGGCUUACUGGACUGUAACUGACGCUGAGUCACGAAAGCGUGGGGAGCAAACAGGAUUAGAUACCCGUGUAGUCCCUGAGCGGGCU